GACGAACGCUGGCGGCGUGCUUAACACAUGCAAGUCGAACGGAAAGGCCCUGCUUUUGUGGGGUGCUCGAGUGGCGAACGGGUGAGUAACACGUGAGUAACCUGCCCUUGACUUUGGGAUAACUUCAGGAAACUGGGGCUAAUACCGGAUAGGAGCUACUGCUGCAUGGUGGGGGUUGGAAAGUUUCGGCGGUUGGGGAUGGACUCGCGGCUUAUCAGCUUGUUGGUGGGGUAGUGGCUUACCAAGGCUUUGACGGGUAGCCGGCCUGAGAGGGUGACCGGCCACAAGGGGACUGAGAUACGGCCCAGACUCCUACGGGAGGCAGUAGGGGGGAAUAUUGCACAAUGGGCGGAAGCCUGAGGUAGCAACGCCGCGUGCGGGAUGAUGGCCUUCGGGUUGUAAACCGCUUUCGCCGGUGACGAAGCGUGAGUGACGGUAAUGGGUAAAGAAGCACCGGCUAACUACGUG
RNAcentral lists this ribosomal RNA (468 nucleotides) under uncultured bacterium. Its description in RNAcentral is "partial 16S ribosomal RNA". It matches the Rfam family "Bacterial small subunit ribosomal RNA", at positions 28 to 507 of the family's 1533-position model. The record is from RNAcentral.